UACAGAGGGUGCGAGCGUUGUUCGGAAUUAUUGGGCGUAAAGCGCUUGUAGGCGGCCUAUCAAGUCGCGUGUGAAAUCCCUAGGCUUAACCUAGGAAGUGCGCGCGAAACUGACGGGCUUGAGUGCUGGAGAGGGUCGCGGAAUUCCCGGUGUAGAGGUGAAAUUCGUAGAUAUCGGGAGGAACACCAGUGGCGAAGGCGGCGACCUGGACAGACACUGACGCUGAGACGCGAAAGCGUGGGGAGCAAACAGG
Molecule: ribosomal RNA, 253 nt
Filed under: uncultured prokaryote
Description: partial 16S ribosomal RNA
Rfam family: Bacterial small subunit ribosomal RNA
Source: RNAcentral